CACCUGGGACACACCUGAGCACACCUGGGACACACCUGAGCACACCUGGGGACACCUGAGAUACACCUGGGCACACCUAGGCACAUGUGGGACACACCUGGGCACACCUGGGACACACCUGGGCACACCUGGCCAUGCAGAUGUUGGAUUUUUCCCGCCAUUCCCGGUUUUUUUCUCACCUUUUCCCGUUUUUCCCGUUUUUCUCCCCAAACCGCAGCCGGAUUUCGUCGGCAUCAUCUGCACCCGCCUGAGCCCCAAGAGACUGAUCGAGAAAUGGGUGGACUUCGCCAGGCGGCUCUGCGAGCACCAGUACGGGAACGCGCCGCGCGUGCGCAUCAACGGCCACGUGGCCGCGCGGUUCCCGUUCAUCCCCCUGCCCCUGGACUACGUCCUGCCCGAGCUGCUCAAGAACGCCAUGAGGGCGACGAUGGAGUCGCACCUGGACACUCCGUACAACGUCCCCGACAUCGUGGUGACGAUCGCCAACAACGACAUCGACCUCGUCAUCCGGAUUUCGGACCGGGGGGGAGGAAUUCCCCACGAUUUGCUGGACAAGGUCACCGAGUACCAUUUCAGCACGGCCGAGGCGAGCGCGCAGGACCCGCGCCUGGGGGGGCCCUUCCGGGGCCUGAUGGAGCCCAACGGGCAGGCGGGGCCCAUGCACGGGUUCGGCUUCGGGCUGCCCACGUCCCGCGCCUACGCCGAGUACCUGGGCGGGUCCCUGGCGCUGCAGUCGCUGCAGGGCGUCGGCACCGACGUCUACCUGAGGCUGCGGCACAUCGACGGCAAGGCCGAGAGCUUCCGCAUCUAGGGGGGCUCGGGGGACCCCGGAAUCCCGGGAUCGGGGCGGGGAGAGCCGGGAGAACCUUCCAGAGUUGGGGUUUGGGUCAUCAGAACCGUGGAGAACCUUCCAGAGUCGGGGUUUGGGUCAUGGAGAACCUUCUAGAAUUGGGGUUGGGUCAUCAGAACCGUGGAGAACCUUCUAGAAUUGGGGUUGGGUCAUCAGAACCAUGGAGAACCUUCCAGAAUUGUGUUUUGGGCCAUGGAGAACCUUCCAGAGUUGGGUUUGGGUCAUCAAAACCAAGAAGAACGUUCCAGAGUUGGGUUUGGGUCAUGAAGAACCUCCCAAAGUUGGGUUUUGGUCAUCAAAACCGUAAAGAACCGCCCAGAUUUAGGGUUUGGGUCAUCAGAACCAAGAAGAACCUUCCAGAAUUGUGUUUUGGGUCAUCAGAACCAUGGAGAACCUUCCAGAAUUGUGUUUUGGGCCAUGGAGAACCUUCCAGAGUUGGGUUUGGGUCAUGGAGAACAUUCCAGAAUUGGGUUUGGGUCAUCAGAACCAAGAAGAAC
Cyanistes caeruleus (blue tit) is the source of this 1347-nucleotide long non-coding RNA. The record is from Ensembl. NCBI's taxonomy places the organism in Eukaryota, Metazoa, Chordata, Aves, Passeriformes, Paridae.